UACGUAGGGUGCAGGCGUUAAUCGGAAUUACUGGGCGUAAAGCGUGCGCAGGCGGUUUGCUAAGACAGGUGUGAAAUCCCCGGGCUUAACCUGGGAACUGCGCUUGUUACUGGCAGGCUUGAGUGUGGCAGAGGGGGGUGGAAUUCCACGUGUAGCAGUGAAAUGCGUAGAGAUGUGGAGGAAUACCGAUGGCGAAGGCAGCCCCCUGGGAUAACACUGACGCUCAUGCACGAAAGCGUGGGGAGCAAACAGG
This 253-nucleotide ribosomal RNA is filed under the name uncultured bacterium. RNAcentral describes it as "partial 16S ribosomal RNA". It matches the Rfam family "Bacterial small subunit ribosomal RNA", at positions 524 to 776 of the family's 1533-position model. The record is from RNAcentral.